Molecule: ribosomal RNA, 416 nt
Filed under: uncultured bacterium
Lineage: Bacteria
Description: bacterial SSU rRNA
Rfam family: Bacterial small subunit ribosomal RNA
Source: RNAcentral
UGAGGAAUUUUGCGCAAUGGGGGAAACCCUGACGCAGCGACGCCGCGUGGAGGAUGAAGGCCUUCGGGUCGUAAACUCCUGUCAGAGGUGAAGAACGCCCGCAAGGGCUUGACGGUAACCUCAGAGGAAGCCCCGGCUAACUACGUGCCAGCAGCCGCGGUAAUACGUAGGGGGCAAACGUUGCUCGGAAUUACUGGGCGUAAAGGGUGAGUAGGCGGCUUGGCAAGUCAUGGAUGAAAUCCCGCAGCUCAACUGCGGAACGGUCCUUGAAACUGCCAGGCUUGAGGAUAGUUGAAGAGAAUGGAAUUCCCGGUGGAGCGGUGAAAUGCGUAGAUAUCGGGAGGAACACCAGAGGCGUAGGCGAUUCUCUAAGCUACUCCUGACGCUGAAUCACGAAAGCUAGGGGAGCAAACGGG